CGGAAGUAUCUCAAUUGGUAGAGGAGCCAACCGUUUGGUGAAAGACCCAUGAAGGAAACGAGGUAGGCAGGGUUGUAGGUUCGAGUCCUAUCUUCCGAA
RNAcentral lists this transfer RNA (99 nucleotides) under Bacillus cereus. RNAcentral's name for it is "tRNA-OTHER". It matches the Rfam family "tRNA". From Rfam's summary of the family: Transfer RNA (tRNA) molecules are approximately 80 nucleotides in length. Their secondary structure includes four short double-helical elements and three loops (D, anti-codon, and T loops). RNAcentral also lists the same sequence under 6 other names. The record is from RNAcentral. Lineage: Bacteria; Bacillati; Bacillota; Bacilli; Caryophanales; Bacillaceae.